Molecule: long non-coding RNA, 1082 nt
Filed under: Oryctolagus cuniculus (rabbit)
Lineage: Eukaryota; Metazoa; Chordata; Mammalia; Lagomorpha; Leporidae
Description: lncRNA (ENSOCUG00000036973.1)
Source: RNAcentral
AUGGUCUGCCGCUGGGGAAGAAAGCGAGGCUCAGCCCGUGAAGAUGGGGGGAGCCGAUCGUUUCAUCAGCCACUUCUAACCGAGCUUCUACUGCGUGCCAGGGCUGAGCUGGCGAGGCAGCGAGACCCAGCGCUGCCUGCCAGGAGGAGACGUCAGACUGAGUCACAGAACCAAACCCAGGGCCCAGGGCAGACAGGGCUUUCCAACGAGAAGACGAAGUCAGUGUGGACGGCAGUGAUCAGCAAGGAGGCGAGGGAGAGCAUUCCAGGGUCCCAGAACAAGUUGGUGCCUGAGCUGGGGCUCAGACACUCUGCAUCUCCGGCCGAGGCUGAUUCCUCCGGCACCGAACUCCCUCCAUCUCACCUCCGGCACCAAGAGCCCAACAGCCGUCAUUUGCAUUGUAGUGCACCCCCCACCCCCUGCCAGCUUACCAUAUAACCAAACACCCAGGCUAGACUUCCGGAUCUUUAAGGAAACACAAAAGAGUGAAAGACACAACAGAAGGCUGAUAACCGAGCGUUCCUUUGGCGCUGUGUCAGCGUGCAGCAGCAGCGUGCCUGAAUCUCCUGCCCUCAAUCUGUUCACCAAACUGUGUCUCCCUCUCGUUCGAGCUGCUCCUGGAAGCAAGUUACUGGCAGCCUCCAUGGGCUGGCCCUGGCUGAACCUCGUCGAUGUCUGGGUGUUGCUCACCCAGCGCCCACCUCCACAGAGCUUCAGCUUCAGCCUCCCCUGCCAGCUGCUGAGCCUCUCGGGGCUCCAAACAAGCCCAUUUCCCUCCCCCGCCUCACCUGCUCUCGUCCACGCCGAUUCCACCCCUGCGCUGGACAUAGAUUGAUGCCAGUUCCGCGUCGUGUCGGGAGGUAGUCACCUCCUGCUUGAUUUCAGUCGCAAGUUUGCCCUUGCUUUGCUGCUGCGCACUAAGACUUAGGGGGUCUCGUUGACUGCAUCGCCUACCGCCCAGGUUCCACACGGGACCCAAGCCCAAGUUGCAUCAGCAGUGCUACCUGGAUUCCUGCUUGGAGGUCUCCUGACACAGGAUUGACAAUUCUCUUUCAUUUUUUUAAAAGAUGUAUUUAUUUAUU